Molecule: ribosomal RNA, 408 nt
Filed under: uncultured bacterium
Lineage: Bacteria
Description: partial 16S ribosomal RNA
Rfam family: Bacterial small subunit ribosomal RNA
Source: RNAcentral
GACGAACGCUGGCGGCGUGCUUAACACAUGCAAGUCGAACGAAGUGGCGAACGGGUGAGUAACGCGUAAUCAACCUGCCCUUCAGAGGGGGACAACAGGUGGAAACGACUGAUAAUACAGCAUACUGAAGGAGGGGAUUGCGUCGGAUUAGCUAGUUGGAGGGGUAACGGCCCACCAAGGCGAUGAUCAGUAGGCGGGCUGGGAGGGUGAACGGCCACAUUGGGACUGUGACACGGCCCAGAAUCCUACGGGGGGCAGGAAUGGGGAAUCUUCCGCAAUGGACGAAAGUCUUACUGAGCCACGCCGCGUGGGUGAUGGCGGCCUUCGGGUUGUAAAGCUCUGUUAAUCGGGACGCGGUACCGGAAUAGAAAGCCACGGCUAACUACGUGCCAGCCGCCGCGGUAAUAC